CCUACGGGUGGCCGCAGUGAGGAAUAUUUCUCAAUGGUCGAGAGUCUGAACCAGCCAAGUAGCGUGAAGGAUGACUGCCCUAUGGGUUGUAAACUUCUUUUAUAUGGGAAUAAAAUGUUCCACGUGUGGGAUUUUGUAUGUACCAUAUGAAUAAGGCUCGGCGAAUUCUGUGCCAGCAGCCGCGGUAAUCCGGAAGAUCCGAGUGUUAGCCGGAUUUAUUGGGUUUAAAGGGAGCGUAGGUGGAUUUUUAAGUCAGUUGUGAAAGUUUGCGGCUCAACAGUAAAAUUGCAGUUGAAACUGGAAGUCUGGAGUACGGUAGAGGCAAGCGGAAUUCGUGGUGUAGCGGUGAAAUGCUUAGAUAUCACGAAGAACACCGAUUGCGAAGGCAGCUCACUGGACUGCAACUGACACUGAGGCUCGAAAGUGUAGGUAUCAAACAGGAUUAGAUACCCUUGUAGUC
RNAcentral lists this ribosomal RNA (460 nucleotides) under uncultured bacterium. RNAcentral describes it as "partial 16S ribosomal RNA". It matches the Rfam family "Bacterial small subunit ribosomal RNA", at positions 338 to 795 of the family's 1533-position model. The record is from RNAcentral.